UAUCCUGUCUGAAUAUGGGGGGACCAUCCUCCAAGGCUAAAUACUCCUGACUGACCGAUAGUGAACCAGUACCGUGAGGGAAAGGCGAAAAGAACCCCUGUGAGGGGAGUGAAAUAGAACCUGAAACCGUGUACGUACAAGCAGUAGGAGCACCUUCGUGGUGUGACUGCGUACCUUUUGUAUAAUGGGUCAGCGACUUAUAUUCAGUGGCAAGGUUAACCAUCUAGGGGAGCCGUAGGGAAACCGAGUCUUAACUGGGCGCCAUAGUCUCUGGAUAUAGACCCGAAACCGAGUGAUCUAGCCAUGGGCAGGUUGAAGGUUGAGUAACAUCAACUGGAGGACCGAACCGACUAAUGUUGAAAAAUUAGCGGAUGACUUGUGGCUAGGGGUGAAAGGCCAAUCAAACUCGGAGAUAGCUGGUUCUCCCCGAAAGCUAUUUAGGUAGCGCCUCGGACGAAUACUACUGGGGGUAGAGCACUGUUAAGGCUAGGGGGUCAUCCCGACUUACCAACCCUUUGCAAACUCCGAAUACCAGUAAGUACUAUCCGGGAGACACACGGCGGGUGCUAACGUCCGUCGUGGAGAGGGAAACAACCCAGACCGCCAGCUAAGGUCCCAAAUUACAGCUAAGUGGGAAACGAUGUGGGAAGGCUUAGACAGCUAGGAUGUUGGCUUAGAAGCAGCCAUCAUUUAAAGAAAGCGUAAUAGCUCACUAGUCGAGUCGGCCUGCGCGGAAGAUGUAACGGGGCUAAGUUGUAAACCGAAGCUGCGGCAAUAUCUUUUAGAUAUUGGGUAGGGGAGCGUUCUGUAAGCCGUUGAAGGUGUGUUGUAAAGCAUGCUGGAGGUAUCAGAAGUGCGAAUGCUGACAUGAGUAACGACAAGGGGGGUGAAAAACCUCCCCGCCGGAAGACCAAGGGUUCCUGU
This 924-nucleotide ribosomal RNA is filed under the name Vibrio vulnificus. RNAcentral describes it as "partial 23S ribosomal RNA". It matches the Rfam family "Bacterial large subunit ribosomal RNA", at positions 430 to 1358 of the family's 2925-position model. Lineage: Bacteria; Pseudomonadati; Pseudomonadota; Gammaproteobacteria; Vibrionales; Vibrionaceae. The record is from RNAcentral.